RNAcentral lists this ribosomal RNA (498 nucleotides) under uncultured bacterium. Its description in RNAcentral is "partial 16S ribosomal RNA". It matches the Rfam family "Bacterial small subunit ribosomal RNA", at positions 28 to 507 of the family's 1533-position model. The record is from RNAcentral.
GACGAACGCUGGCGGCGUGCCUAAUACAUGCAAGUCGAGCGGACGGAUGGGAGCUUGCUCCCAGACCGUCAGCGGCGGACGGGUGAGUAACACGUGGGCAACCUGCCUGUAAGACUGGGAUAACUCCGGGAAACCGGGGCUAAUACCGGAUAACUCUUUCCCUCACAUGAGGGAAAGCUGAAAGAUGGCAUCUCGCUAUCACUUACAGAUGGGCCCGCGGCGCAUUAGCUGGUUGGUGAGGUAACGGCUCACCAAGGCGACGAUGCGUAGCCGACCUGAGAGGGUGAUCGGCCACACUGGGACUGAGACACGGCCCAGACUCCUACGGGAGGCAGCAGUAGGGAAUCUUCCGCAAUGGACGAAAGUCUGACGGAGCAACGCCGCAUGAGUGAUGAAGGUUUUCGGAUCGUAAAACUCUGUUGUCAGGGAAGAACAAGUACCGGAGUAACUGCCGGUACCUUGACGGUACCUGACCAGAAAGCCACGGCUAACUACGUG